RNAcentral lists this ribosomal RNA (381 nucleotides) under uncultured bacterium. RNAcentral describes it as "bacterial SSU rRNA". It matches the Rfam family "Bacterial small subunit ribosomal RNA", at positions 954 to 1334 of the family's 1533-position model. The record is from RNAcentral.
AUGGGAACGCGAAGAACCUUACCUGGUCUUGACAUCCACAGAACUUAGCAGAGAUGGAUUGGUGCCUUCGGGAACUCUGAGACAGGUGCUGCAUGGCUGUCGUCAGCUCGUGUUGUGAAAUGUUGGGUUAAGUCCCGCAACGAGCGCAACCCUUAUCCUUUGUUGCCAGCGGUUAGGCCGGGAACUCAAAGGAGACUGCCAGUGAUAAACUGGAGGAAGGUGGGGAUGACGUCAAGUCAUCAUGGCCCUUACGAGUAGGGCUACACACGUGCUACAAUGGCGCAUACAAAGAGAAGCGACCUCGCGAGAGCAAGCGGACCUCAUAAAGUGCGUCGUAGUCCGGAUUGGAGUCUGCAACUCGACUCCAUGAAGUCGGAAUCG